ACCUGGCUGGCUCAGUCAGUAGAGCGUGAGAUUCUUAAUCUCAGUGUUUUGAGUUUGAGCCCCACAUUGGGUG
Molecule: transfer RNA, 73 nt
Filed under: Ailuropoda melanoleuca (giant panda)
Lineage: Eukaryota; Metazoa; Chordata; Mammalia; Carnivora; Ursidae
Rfam family: tRNA
About the family: Transfer RNA (tRNA) molecules are approximately 80 nucleotides in length. Their secondary structure includes four short double-helical elements and three loops (D, anti-codon, and T loops).
Source: Rfam by way of RNAcentral